AACUAUAAUAAUGUGGAUUUAAUGCCAGCACAGGAUCCCAUAAGAAUUCCGUAAUUACGUGUGCUUGGGUUAGAGUAGUACUGGGAUGGGUGUCCUCCUGAGAAAUGCUCAUGUCAGUGUUU
Non-coding RNA from Lupinus angustifolius (narrow-leaved blue lupine), 122 nucleotides. The record is from Rfam. NCBI's taxonomy places the organism in Eukaryota, Viridiplantae, Streptophyta, Magnoliopsida, Fabales, Fabaceae.